UCCCAGCCUCCAGGCCACCUGUCACGCUCCAGCCACCAGAUCCAGAUCCUGCUGCUCCUCUCAGCUUCGCUCCCCGGACACCCCAGCACACAUGCCCCACCGUCCUGGCUCUCACCCACUCCAGCCCCAGCAGGUCGCUGUAAAGACCCUGCGGGCCAAGCAGCCCACUGAAGAUGGCACAGGCUCUGGACGGCACUGCUCCAGAGACAGCAGACACGGCCCUGACCUGGUAAGAAGACGCCGCACAGCUGGGUGACAGAGCCAGGGGGAGAUGACGCCACUCCCAGAGCCCCGGGCACCCACUGAGAAGGUGAUGGCGCAUCUGCCCUGGGGAUCCACACGCAGGUCCCGCAGGUGGAGCACAGGCCGCCAGGCACCCAGGAGGAAGCCAGUCCACGUGGUGAUCUGGCCUCAGACGCUCAUGGGAACGGUGGUCACAAGAGCCCCAAAGUGGGGACGCCAAAGGCCCACCAGCAGGUGGUCUGUGCACACGGCCGGUGUCCCUCAGCCACAGCGAGGCCCAGGGCUGCCACGAGCUACCACACGAGCAGCCUCCGGACCUCUGCCAGCAGAGGAGUCCAGGCACCAGACUCUAAGAGACGCCCAGAAGAAGCCAGUCCAGAGAAAGGAAGUGGUGUGCAGGGAGCGAGGGCUCGGCACUGGGCGGCCUCUCCGUGGGGAGGGAAGAUCUCCGUGGGCUGGGCUCACACGGUGGACCAAGCCGAAAGCCUCCUGAGGGCAGACGGCUCUGUGGGAACAGCUGCCCUGCCCGCCCCGGGGCCAGGCCGCUGCCCUCCACCUCCUCUCGUCCUGCUCCUCUGCAGAUGCAGUCUCGGUUCCCCGCAUUCUGCCCCUGCGCACCGCGGGUCCCCAGCCUGGGUCGUCACUGCCAGGUCCGAGCAGCCUCCCUAGCUCUUUCUGGCACCGCACGCCUGGCGCCACCGGUGCCUGACGCCUGUCGCCCCUCCUCACCAGCACCGGAGCUCCCCACGGAGUCCUGCACCCAAGCCAUCACCCCAGCUACCUGUCCUGGGGUGACCCUGAGCUGGGUCAGCAGAGCCUGUCCUGGGCGUCCCCUGCACUCUGCUCAAAGUGGCUCCAAGAGGCUCUGGGCUCUGUCGGCCCUUCUCACCUCCCCUCUCCUCAAGGUCGCUCCUCACUGGACGGGGCAGCGGCCAGUGUCACCCCAGCCCAGCAGGCCAGCUUAGAGGGACAGCAGUGCGGUGAGGUCUCGGCUCCAGCCACAGCCCCUACUCCACAAGAGGCUUUGCCAACUUCACCCUGCUGUGGGGCUGCCCACCCCACAGUGCCCACAGGAGUCAGGUCCCUGAGGGGAGGGACCCUGCCGGCCGCUGUCCCCACACCCACAGAGCUGAUGGCUCCCGUUCUCAAACACUGCGGGGACCUGGGAUCUGCUGAAACCAAACAAAACCCCUCCCGGAGCGGCCCUGUGGACUCUGGAUGUUACGCUGCAUCGAACGGGAUGUUGAUACAGAGGCCACCACAGGUGGGACCAUGGGAACGCUCUGUACCUUUCCCUCUGUUCUGCUGGGAGCCUGAAACUGCUUGUAAAAGUCUGAGCUGUUCCAGGAAGGGGCAGUGGAACCUUGAGACCCUCCUCUCCCACCCAGCUGGGCCACCUGUCUGCAGUCUCCAAGGACUGGGUUUAUCCAGGAACUUUGACCUUGUUCUCUGGUUUAUGGGACUGAAAAGGAAACAGCCUGGGAAAGGGGAAGUGACACAUCCAAGGUCACAGAACUGGAAGAGACUCUGCCUGGCUCCAGAGCCCUUUCUAGUAAUGUUGAUUCUGAAAGAAAAGAACCAAGAGCCUUCCAUUGAGAUUACUGCUUUUAUUAUCACCCCGUCCUGCCCAGGUAGGAACACAGUGAGCUUCCUCGUGUCCAAGGCCACAGGAGUGGGGGACUCACCCUCAGCCCUUGCCUGCCACUAACUGGCAGUCACAAGGACCAGCUCCGAGCCGACCCUUCCCACUCCACAGCCCCGCUCAGGUAGAGACAUAAAGGCGCCCAAGGAGGAAUCCGAUGUCACUGUUCCCUGGGCCAAGGCAGGAAGAUCACAAGGCCUGCAAGACGGCAGGCAGUGUCAAUGCAUUUAGCCCAAGCGGCUUAGGGCUUCAGGGCGAGCUAUGGGGGGGGGGGGGGUGUCAAGGCCGUAAAGCCCACCCUCAGCUGAGGCCAGGUCUCAAGUUGAUCCUCAAUUCGCACCCUGGGGCCUGAAACUUGGGAGUCUACACAGAAAGGAACCCAUGGAGUCGCCCGUUCCUAGACCCCUGACCAGCUCCCUCGGUCUGGUCUCUGCCUCCCACGCCACCCCAGGUCAUCGGUCAUCUCAGGGCCCCUGAUGCUCAGCACCGGCCUGGCCCUGAGCAGGGCCUUCUCUACAUUCGCUUCUCGUCCUGUGUCUGCAGCCUGAGCCCGAAGGUCCCGGCCUUCACCUCCGGGAACGGAGGUCCUUCCUGCCCUGGCAGCCGGCUCGCUCCGGGCCGGGGUGGGAGCGGGGUCCGCGUUCCGCUGGGAAGAGCCCUCCGCGCCGGCCACGCGGCGCUGACCUUGGCCGCCCGUGGGCCCGGGCGCUGGACGGGACCUGCCACCGAAACCCGCGUCGCUAACUGAGGAUCAAAGGCCGGCGCCCCCACCCGGGGCAGCAACGGGCCCGGGCACCCGAAAAGGGGAAGGAAGGGACCCGAAGGCCUGGAGCCGAGGCUGCGCCCGGACGCCGUUUCCGCGGCCCUUCCUGCAAGGGGCUUCAACUUCCCCGGAGUCGGAGUCGCCAGCACUUCCGGCCUCGGGCGGCGGUGAGCGCAGAUCCGUACCGACCAGGCCCCCUGCCCGGCCCGCCGCGCACGCGCAGAAUCCGGGACCGCGACGCCCGCCGCGCGCCCGCUCACGACCCCCCC
Molecule: long non-coding RNA, 2917 nt
Organism: Heterocephalus glaber (naked mole-rat)
Lineage: Eukaryota; Metazoa; Chordata; Mammalia; Rodentia; Bathyergidae
Source: Ensembl